Molecule: long non-coding RNA, 2560 nt
Organism: Triticum dicoccoides
Lineage: Eukaryota; Viridiplantae; Streptophyta; Magnoliopsida; Poales; Poaceae
Exons: 3
Source: RefSeq, a predicted model, not a curated record
GUCCAAGUCCUCCGUUUGGAGCUGAAGCAAGUUGUCGCCUUCGGUCAGGUCGCCCCCUAUUUUUCAUGGUGGAUGAGAUUGGAGGGUGGGGGACAAUACCUACUCUGGAGUCACUAGGUCUAAGUGUGGCAAAGUUAGGUCCAGGCUAUGAGGUCUGAUUGUGCUUGCAGAUUGGAAUUGUUGAAAACCUUAGCCUUCCUGAUCUAGCUAACAAAGAUGUAUGUUUCAGACAAUUAAAAUUCAAGCGUUAGCAUACUUAUACCCCAGGUGCAACACACAGGCUGAUUAGUUCAGAUUUAUUUGUUUUAAGGGUUUUGGUCGGGAUGGUGUAUGUGGCACUUAAAAAUGCUCUAGAAAAAUAAUAUUUUGUCUUCACGUCUUGCUUGUGCACUGCAUAAUUAUACUGUCCACAAAUAACAUACAACAGUAAUACGUUUCUAUCUACCAAUGCAUACUUGCACUGUAAGUCUAUAAAAAUUAGGUGUUGAGCUCCAAGGCUAUUUGUUUAAAGUGACAUUUAUUCAGCGUGUUCCAACCUUUACAUGCCUUAAUUAUAGAAUAAUCUAAUAUUAUGAUUUCUCCAGUAAGCAGUAUACUAGGACUUUGAAUUUGUGCUUUAGGAAAAUUUGAACAGACCUCGUCCACGCCGAUAAUUUCCUGUUACAUCAGGUUGAACAAUUUUGUUUAUGUUGUGAGUGUGGUAAAUAUUCUUUACCACUGGCCACAUAUCUCACUUGUGUUGGUCCCCUAGAAUAUGUUAAUGUUUAGUUUCCAAUUUUUCAUCUAUCAAAUAUCAAUGGACUUUACAUGGUUUCUUGCAAAAAAAAGACUCACAUGGCUCGAGUUUGUUUGCUCAGGAGGUUUCUCUCAUAGAUUAUAAUAGUCAGUGGCUUAAAAGUAUUGUCGGUGCUACAAACAUAAAACUGAUGAAAGAAGAACAUAUUUGUACCUUAUUGCCGGCUGACUAUACACACAAGAACCUCAAAACUCUCAUUAAUGUGUUAUAUAUUUAGUUGCAAUAGUAUUUGAUUUUUCAUGAAGCAGUAUGCUUACUGUUUCUUCAUUCAAUUUCAUGUGGCAAUGACACGUGGAGGAUGAUGGUCACGAGCGCAUUGUUGCAAGCUCACCGGAGGGAGGCACACAUCUCAUCCAAUGGAAAAGCACGCUCCAAAAAAUCCCUAACCCUCCAUGGAGCCAUUGCUAGGGGGCGACGAGAUCAACGCCACCCACCACGACCACCGAGUUGUACAAGGGCUUCGUGACUGAGCUGGCGAAGAAGAUGUCAGUGGUGGAAGCGGACAUGUUAUAGAAGAUGUUGAGGGUGGCACCGGAGGUAAUGGACAAAUGGGGCUCCUCGGCACCGAAGAGAAGGAUGCUGCAGCGACACCGACACGUACUGGGUUCCAUUUCCAACCAGAGAGAACUUAUGAACGGUAUGUGCGUGAUCCAUUCAUUCUUUCGUUUGAUCCUUCCUUAUUCCUCUCAACUCAGAUUAAUUUUAUUUUGUAAUUAUGCAUGAUUUUGAUGGAUCAAUAAAUUUAGUGGCAUUAAUUGCAAUGAGAAAUAUCGUCUAUCCAUAAACUUCACUUUGUUGUUUUUCAGCUGAACAUGAUAGUUUGUGUCUUUUUGUUAUGGACUUCAAUAUGGUCGAUGGUAGCUUGCUGAAUAAAGCAAGACCGAACACAUAAUUUCAUGCCGAGAGUUUGACCUGUUUAAUUUUGUACGGAAAAUAUUUGCUGCUAAUAAUGAGAAAGUUCUGAUUUGUAAAUGCAAUAUUCUUCCAUGUAUACGGAAUUACAGAUUGAACAAAAUAUAAGCCAAAGUUGAAUCUCAAGCCUUAAUUAAUACUAAAAAAUAAUAUAGGUUUGGUAUAUGUGUAGAAUAGGAUAUUUUUCCUUAAGAAUCUACUAGAUGAGGUGGUCGUUGUCGACAUCCUUGUGAAAGUUCGCAUGAUCUUAGCACGAACCAACUCACAAUGUUAUCUCGAGCAAUGCUUUAUUCACUUAAGUAUCUUUUUUUAGGAAAACACUAGGUUAAAAGCCUACUGUAAAAAAUUAUAUGCAAAGUUAUUAUAAUUGCCAUUUAUGAUCACGAAUGAUCUUACUGAAUGACUGUUCCCAUGGCCUUCAAAGAAGAGAUAUACUAGAAGUUGAGUGCAGUUGGAGGGGCCUUAGUCCUUCUGAGCCAAGAAAAGUAGAUAGGGCCUGUCCAAGCUUUGAAUAGUAGAUGGGGGAAUGUUAAAAUAUUUUGUGAUGACAUGGUUCUAAAUGGUUAGGUAUGUGUCGCAGCCUGUAUUUUUUCAUGGGAUGAUUGGUCUUAAGCAUAAAAAGCCAUCCAUGUGCCACCUAUCAUUUGUAAUGCACAAUAUCGAGUUCUAUGUUUUUGUACCACUUUCUUUAUUUUCUACAUUAGAUCUGACAGUAUAUGUUAGUGAAUUACAUUUUUAUCGAAAUAGAUUACAAGUGAAGAGGAUUUCAAUUGUUUUUUGUAUGUUAUUGGCUAACUUUUUUAUACGUGCGAAAUUUGAUAUGCAAUCAGUAACAACCAACCCACAAUGAAU